GCAGCAGCCGCGGGAAUACGAAGGGUGCAAGCGUUACUCGGAAUUACUGGGCGUAAAGCGUGCGUAGGUGGUGGUUUAAGUCCGUUGUGAAAGCCCUGGGCUCAACCUGGGAAUUGCAGUGGAUACUGGGUCACUAGAGUGUGGUAGAGGAUAGUGGAAUUUCCGGUGUAGCAGUGAAAUGCGUAGAGAUCGGAAGGAACAUCUGUGGCGAAGGCGACUAUCUGGGCCAACACUGACACUGAGGCACGAAAGCGUGGGGAGCAAACAGGAUUAGAUACCCCCGUAGUCCCUGUCUCUAUACC
RNAcentral lists this ribosomal RNA (302 nucleotides) under uncultured bacterium. Its description in RNAcentral is "partial 16S ribosomal RNA". It matches the Rfam family "Bacterial small subunit ribosomal RNA", at positions 508 to 808 of the family's 1533-position model. The record is from RNAcentral.